CAGUAGUCAUCCGGGUUGCCGCAAGGCCUCCCGGGUAACCUACCACCCUUUGUUUAUUACACUUUGUUGCUUUGGCAGGCCUGCCCUCGGGCUGCUGGCUCCGGCCGGCGAGCGCCUGCCAGAGGACCUAAACUCUGUUUGUCUAUAUUGUCUGAGAACUAUAUAAUAGUUA
This 172-nucleotide unclassified non-coding RNA is filed under the name uncultured Geomyces. RNAcentral's name for it is "sequence contains ITS1". The record is from RNAcentral. Lineage: Eukaryota; Fungi; Ascomycota; Leotiomycetes; Myxotrichaceae.